CGGGCGGGUGCUUACCUGCAAGUCGAACGGAGAUAGAAGAGACAGUUUACUGAAUCUUUUAUCUUAGUGGCGGACGGGUGAGUAACGCGUGGGUAACCUACCCUAAACACCGGGACAACAGCUGGAAACGGCUGCUAAUACCGGAUAAUCUCUUAAUGGGGCAUCCCAAAAAGAGGAAAGGCGGCCUCUGAAAAUGCUGCCGAUUAAGGAUGGACCCGCGUCUGAUUAGCUAGUUGGUAGGGUAACGGCCUACCAAGGCGACGAUCAGUAGCCGGCCUGAGAGGGUGACCGGCCACACUGGGACUGAGACACGGCCCAGACUCCUACGGGAGGCAGCAGUGGGGAAUCUUCCGCAAUGGGCGAAAGCCUGACGGAGCAACGCCGCGUGAAUGAAGAAGGCCUUCGGGUCGUAAAGUUCUGUCUUUAGGGAAGAAGUCUUUUGGUGUGAAUAAUGCCAAGAGGUGACGGUACCUAAGGAGGAAGCUCCGGCUAACUACGUGCCAGCAGCCGCGGUAAUACGUAGGGAGCAAGCGUUGUCCGGAAUUACUGGGCGUAAAGGGCGCGUAGGCGGGAUUUUAAGUCAGGUGUGAAAACUCUGGGCUCAACUUGGAGAUUGCACUUGAAACUGGAAUUCUUGAGGACAGGAGAGGAAAGUGGAAUUCCUAGUGUAGCGGUGAAAUGCGUAGAUAUUAGGAGGAACACCAGUGGCGAAGGCGACUUUCUGGACUGUAACUGACGCUGAGGCGCGAAAGCGUGGGGAGUGAACGGGAUUAGAUACCCCGGUAAUCCACGCUGUAAACGAUGGGUACUAGGUGUAGGA
RNAcentral lists this ribosomal RNA (820 nucleotides) under uncultured Dehalobacterium sp. Its description in RNAcentral is "bacterial SSU rRNA". It matches the Rfam family "Bacterial small subunit ribosomal RNA", at positions 36 to 827 of the family's 1533-position model. Lineage: Bacteria; Bacillati; Bacillota; Clostridia; Eubacteriales; Peptococcaceae. The record is from RNAcentral.